UAUAGAACCUUCCAGAGCGGCGGCGACGCGGCGUGGAUUGGGGAGUGUUGAAGUGAGGUGCUGUGAAGCUGCAGUCAGACUGUGUUGUGGUAAAGAAGAGAAAGCAGCAGCAAGAUCCUGUGUUCUGACGGUGGCCUUGCACUUCACUGUGGGAUCUUAGUCAAGACGAGACAUGUGCGAACCCAGUGGCAGUGUGAGGACCCAGCCUUGUGUACACAUCUGGUGCUGCUUUACUCACGUUCUCCCACUCAGAAAAUCUGAUGAUAAAGACCUCAGGAAAGCAGUACAUCUCAGUCCUACAGAAACUGACCUGGCCUCUCUUAAUGAAAUGUAUUCUCUGCGAGGUAACUGUGGCGUUAGCUAGGAGGUAGAUUGGAACUGUCCUGAUUCCUUUUUAAGGCUACUGGCCUAUUGGACCAACUACCGGUAGGCUGGAAUAGAUUUGAACCAAUAAUAUGCAUGGGGAAUUGGUGAUGUUUUCAUUCUAGCCCCAUAUUUGAUAAAACAGCAUCAUCAUGUGUACUGAUAAAGCAAUUACCAUCAAGCCUGGAUUGUCUGUUUUUUCAGAGAAGACAACUCGGUGAUCCUUGUUUAUAACAACUACACUUAUAAGAAUGGAAGUGUGGGGAGUACGACCAUCACUUUUCAAGCUACCGGUAACCUGCAGUGUAUGCCCAGGCCCCUGCUUUUCAGAGCUAGGCACCAGAGCUGAAUUAGCUGUGAUUAGAAAAUACAGGAAUGUUCUUUAAGGCAGAGAAGCAGAGCAAGCAAAGUUUUCCCUAGGGGUGUCAUCAUCUGGUGCUUCAUGCCUUGUAUGAAUCAGCUUCUGAAAUUUCAAGACAAUGUACUUUCAUGGCUGCAACUCUCAUCUCCUCAAAUAAAACCGGGCUGAAAGAUACUUACUGCCUUUAUAAAGCUCAGACCUUCAUGUGAUUUAAUACCAUCAGCUCCAGACUGAUUCCUGCAGUUCACUCUGGCAGUAAGAAGAUGUUUCAAGAGUCCAGCUCUAAUUGUUCUUGAUUUUCACUGAGUCUUAACAUAAGCUGUUGUUCAUAAUAAAGGCUCUUUGCAUAGUUUAUUUCUUGACAUAGCUUUACUGCAAGAACUUCAGAUUUCACAUUGACCUGCAGAAAGAAAUGGGUAACACUGCGUACAAACUGCUGUGAGCCACAUCCAAGUAAACCCUCAGCUGCAAGUGGAAUGUCAGCAAGCACAAAUAUUUUUAAAGCUCAGACCAUGCUUUAUUUUGUGAUAUAAAAGAAAAUUAUAGUAAUUAUUUUCUCUUAAUACUUGUCUGCAAGAUCCUGCUCAGUGCUGAAUUUGUCUUUUCUCUGCCCUAUGCCUCCUUGUCAUAUCAAUCAGCUAACACUGGUUUCCAUAGGAGUGAAAAAAGGCAUACGUGCUCAUUCAAGUUGUUAAAUUUUCAUUUUAAGUGGCGUGAAGAGUACAGUCAUUCUUAACCUGCUGGGUAGCCUGCAGAACAGUCUUGUUUCAGAGGACAGGCAAAUGAAAGUCCAGUGUUUUACAGAGAUCCUACGUGUGACUUGGGUCAUGCUUCCACUGGAAGAGCAACCAGAACAAACCUGCUGGUACACUGCCUUUGUUUCCUUUCCAGCAGGGAAAGAAACUAAAAAAAGUAAUCAUGAGAAAUCCCAACUAUACUGUACUACCAUUCCUUGCAACUGUCAGGGUAAAGCUGAGUACACCCACAAAAGCAGAACUGUUGGGUUUUUUCCCACAUAUAUGGGAUUCCAACGCUCUGUAUGGAGAUAUCCAUGGAGAGAACUGAACCAGCAAAAGCUAUGGUGAAGUUAAGUGGGAACAACUGAGAAAUCAGACUACAGGGCUGUAUUUUUUCCCCCAUAAGAAGAUUAUAUCUGAUUUUUCAUGGUGUCAUAUAUGUACUUUGAGGAAUGGAAACAAGGAUGUAUUUUAUGGCGAAGCACUGAAACAUCAGCUAGUUUGUAGUUAAGGCUCUACAUUUUGUUCUAACUUUGAGUCAUGGAUCAUUACCCAUUUUCCCUUGCCAACUGUUAUUUUCUUCUCAGUGCCUAGUUCUCAAAAUGGGUAUUUAACCUUUUAAGAUACGACUGCAAGAUAUUACUUCUUCAGUUGAUUUAUGUAAGUAAAAAGACCCAACAAACUUGCAUUGACACUAUUUUAAAAAUUUCAAAUUAAUAAAAUGGAAGAUUAAAUGAAACAUGAUCCAGUAGAACAAAGCAGAAGCAAGCAGACCUCUGGAGAAUUUGUGGGUUUUUAACAACAUCAGGAAGUAAUUACACAAUAUUUUCCAGAAGUGAAACAGUGAGUCUAACUGGAAAAAAAUGUGGAAACAUUUAGUUAGAACAGUAGAGCAAGGUAUUAAACCCCCUUUUAUGGAUUUAACUCUGGAAGAAAAUAUGCAAAUAAUCACAUCUCUAAAUAUGUUUCUGGUUAUGAUACUAGGAUAAAAGUCAGAGGCAUAAUUUUGUACUUAUUUUCCACGACAAGAAACACUGUUUUCUUGUUGUGUGAUGCUCCUAAUGGUGGAAGUCACAGUGAAUGGACAGCGUGACUGAAAUGACAACAGCCCACAGUUCUACUUAUGGGGUACACUUGUCAAAAGCUGACACUGUUUGGUUUUUUAAUCACAAAUUGUUCUCUUCUAAUUCUCCCCGCUAAAGAGCCAGACUGGAUACACCAUUUAAGUCCUUUCCAUAAGAUGUAAACAGGAUAACAUGACUGUAAGAUCACAGGCCACAGGUGGCAACUACAAACUUCCUCACAGGCGCACAGCUUUCAGUGCCUCAUUAUUGAGGCUGGUGGAGUUGAGACAGUGCAAUGAAUGGGGGAACUCCCC
Molecule: long non-coding RNA, 2839 nt
Filed under: Gallus gallus (chicken)
Lineage: Eukaryota; Metazoa; Chordata; Aves; Galliformes; Phasianidae
Source: RNAcentral